GGACAGACGGGGGGGCGCCGGUGAGGACUGGAGCCGAGGGCCUGGAUGGAGGGGACUGAGCUGGUCCAGCACCUGGAAGGAUGGAACUGCCAUCUGCAGACAUGGAGACGACGUGGGAGCAGCAGGGCUGGGGACCAGGAACAGUUUCGACCUAAUGAACAUCCGCCUGGAGAUGUCAGGUCUCACCUCUUUGGUACAUUUCUGGGUCCUUGACUGUGUCAGGUCCAAUGCGGGGAUUUCUCCCUCAACAUUCCAACUCAAAUCUAUUGUGUAACAAGUAUUGGUGAGGAUGCGCAGAAACAGGAACUCUCACGUGUUGCUGGUGGGAACACAGUUACCAGGACCCAGCAAUUCCACUCCUAGGUAUGUACCUGAGAGAACUGAAACGGAUGUUCAGACAGAAACAUGCACACGAAUAAUUACAGCAGCAUGAUUCACAAUGGCCAAAAGGUGGAACCAAGGGCCCACACACUGGAACAUCACUCAGCCAUGAAAAGGAGAGAAGCCCUGACAGUCGCUACAACGUGGAUGGACCCUGAGAACACAAUGCUCAGUGAGAGAAGCCAGAUACAGAAGGACACACAGGGUGUGAUUCCACCGAUGGGAAACGUCCAGAACAGGCCAAUCUGCAGAGACAGAGAGUGGAUUCAUGGUU
Molecule: long non-coding RNA, 655 nt
Organism: Orcinus orca (killer whale)
Lineage: Eukaryota; Metazoa; Chordata; Mammalia; Artiodactyla; Delphinidae
Exons: 3
Source: RefSeq, a predicted model, not a curated record